This 229-nucleotide ribosomal RNA is filed under the name uncultured bacterium. Its description in RNAcentral is "partial 16S ribosomal RNA". It matches the Rfam family "Bacterial small subunit ribosomal RNA", at positions 568 to 796 of the family's 1533-position model. The record is from RNAcentral.
UCCGUAGGCGGGCGUCUAAGUCAGUGGUGAAAUCUUACAGCUCAACUGUAAAAUUGCCAUUGAUACUGGAUGUCUUGAAUUAGUGUGAAGUGGUUAGAAUGUGUAGUGUAGCGGUGAAAUGCAUAGAUAUUACACAGAAUACCAAUUGCGAAGGCAGAUCACUAACACUAUAUUGACGCUGAGGGACGAAAGCGUGGGGAGCGAACAGGAUUAGAUACCCUGGUAAUCC